RNAcentral lists this ribosomal RNA (99 nucleotides) under uncultured bacterium. RNAcentral describes it as "partial 16S ribosomal RNA". It matches the Rfam family "Bacterial small subunit ribosomal RNA", at positions 1386 to 1482 of the family's 1533-position model. The record is from RNAcentral.
CACACCGCCCGUCACACCAUGGGAGUUGGAUUGACCCGAAGGUGGUGAGCUAACCCGCAAGGGAGGCAGCCAACCACGGUCGGUUCAGCGACUGGGGUG